AGAGUUUGAUCCUGGCUCAGGAUAAACGCUGGCGGCGUGCAUGAGACAUGCAAGUCGAACGGACACACAGCGCUUGCUCUGUGUGUUAGUGGCGGACGGCUGAGUAACGCGUAGGUGACCUGCCCCGAAGUGGGGAAUAACUGCCCGAAAGGGUGGCUAAUACCGCAUGUGGUGGUGUGUUCGAUCACACCAGUAAAGCCGCAAGGCGCUUCGGGAGGGGCCUGCGUCCGAUUAGCUCGUUGGUGGGGUAACGGCUCACCAAGGCCACGAUCGGUAGGUGGUCUGAGAGGACGAUCACCCAGACUGGGACUGAGACACGGCCCAGACUCCUACGGGAGGCAGCAGUCGGGAAUUUUGCGCAAUGGACGAAAGUCUGACGCAGCAACGCCGCGUGAGGGAUGACGGCCUUCGGGUUGUAAACCUCUUUUAUCAGGGAAGAUAAUGACGGUACCUGAUGAAUAAGUCACGGCUAACUACGUGCCAGCAGCCGCGGUAAUACGUAGGUGACAAGCGUUGUCCUGAUUUACUGGGCGUAAAGAGCGCGCAGGCGGUCGAUCAAGUCGAGUGUGAAAGCCCCCGGCUCAACUGGGGAGGGUCAUUCGAUACUGAUCGACUCGAAGGCAGGAGAGG
RNAcentral lists this ribosomal RNA (630 nucleotides) under uncultured bacterium. RNAcentral's name for it is "bacterial SSU rRNA". It matches the Rfam family "Bacterial small subunit ribosomal RNA", at positions 8 to 657 of the family's 1533-position model. The record is from RNAcentral.